UCGAGAAUCUUCCACAAUGGACGAAAGUCUGAUGGAGCGACGCCGCGUGAGUGAUGAAGGCCCUACGGGUUGUAAAACUCUGUCAGGAGAGAAGAAUCGCCGGGAUGCCAAUACCAUCCUGGUUUGACGUUAUCUCCAGAGGAAGCUCCGGCUAACUCCGUGCCAGCAGCCGCGGUAAUACGGGGGGAGCAAGCGUUGUCCGGAAUUAUUGGGCGUAAAGGGCGUGUAGGCGGCUUGGUCAGUCGAAUGUGAAAUCCCACGGCUCAACCGUGGAAUUGCGUUCGAUACUGCCUGGCUUGAGUAUGUGAGAGGUGUGCGGAAUUCCUGGUGUAGCGGUGGAAUGCGUAGAUAUCAGGAAGAACACCGAUGGCGAAGGCAGCACACUGGCGCAAUACUGACGCU
RNAcentral lists this ribosomal RNA (402 nucleotides) under uncultured bacterium. Its description in RNAcentral is "bacterial SSU rRNA". It matches the Rfam family "Bacterial small subunit ribosomal RNA", at positions 355 to 747 of the family's 1533-position model. The record is from RNAcentral.